RNAcentral lists this unclassified non-coding RNA (146 nucleotides) under uncultured Venturiaceae. Its description in RNAcentral is "sequence contains ITS2". Lineage: Eukaryota; Fungi; Ascomycota; Dothideomycetes; Venturiales; Venturiaceae. The record is from RNAcentral.
CAAACCUCAAGCCUUGCUUGGUGAUGGGUCCCGCCCGCGUGGCGGGCCCGAAACUCGUGGGCGCCCCAGGCCGGACUCCAAGCGUAGCAAAACCCUCGCUUGUGGAUGACCGGUCAGAGGCCGCCCCGGACCCCUAACAUAUCAAU